RNAcentral lists this long non-coding RNA (911 nucleotides) under Coffea arabica (coffee). RNAcentral's name for it is "long non-coding RNA (CARA_LNC005081)". Lineage: Eukaryota; Viridiplantae; Streptophyta; Magnoliopsida; Gentianales; Rubiaceae. The record is from RNAcentral.
UCCAGUCUUCGGCGCAUUACUUGACUUAGAAAGACGAACAUCUGGGCAAGGGAAAGCACAGUGCGCCUGGUGCAAAUGGCUUUCUUUUUUCAUCAUAUAGAAAUCAGAAUGGAGGGUCCUACCUAUAUACAUGAUUGAUAGAAUCACUACGAAGGUAGGGCGGUCAACUUGAUGAGGGAGAGGCAUGAGUGCAGUUCGAUUUUUUGGUGUAUACGUUUGUAGUGAGUAGGGCCUCUUUCUCGUUGAUCAGUUCGCUUCCACUCUAUUGAAAAGUCAGAAUUCCUAAAGCGGUUUUGUCAACGAACGCGUCUCGGGCCGGAUUGACUAACCUAACCCACGCUUUUCCAUAGUUGGGUGCUCUGCUUUAGAUAGGGGCUAGGCUAUGUUUGAUAAUACCCAAAACAAAUGAAAAGAGAUCGGUGAAGUCCACGCACAUCCUCCAUCCUCCGUCAUCCUUCUUUACCAGAACGGGAUUGGCGAGCCACACCGGGUAGUAUACUUCUCGAAUUAUUCGGGCCUUCAGAAGUUUAUCAACUUCUUGAUUGAUCACUUCGCUCCAUUCACGGGCAAAUGUUCUCUUUUCCUAUUUGAUCGGUUUCAUCCAAGGAUCCACGUUUAGCUUAUGAGUAAUAAGCUCGGAGGGGGAUCCCAGCAUCUCAUCGGCCGAUUGCAAUUGAAUAUUCUUCCUCUUCCUCUCUUGUUUUAACUCCUAAAUACUUCUUAGUGACUCUUAAGUAGACUUAGGCCUGGGAGGCCUAAGGAACGAGCCUUUAGAGUGCAUUAGGAGUCCAUUUCCUUUGUUGUCUUAUGAUGCGAAGUAAAGAGCUCAAACCCUGGUAUUACUAGUAUAGAGCCGACUUCUUCACCCACGUGUUCCCUAUGAUCAUUCUGUCCAGGAAAGCCCAACUAAC